GAUGAACGCUGGCGGCGUGCCUAAUACAUGCAAGUCGAGCGAACAGACGAGGAGCUUGCUCCUCUGACGUUAGCGGCGGACGGGUGAGUAACACGUGGAUAACCUACCUAUAAGACUGGGAUAACUUCGGGAAACCGGAGCUAAUACCGGAUAAUAUAUUGAACCGCAUGGUUCAAUAGUGAAAGACGGUUUUGCUGUCACUUAUAGAUGGAUCCGCGCCGCAUUAGCUAGUUGGUAAGGUAACGGCUUACCAAGGCGACGAUGCGUAGCCGACCUGAGAGGGUGAUCGGCCACACUGGAACUGAGACACGGUCCAGACUCCUACGGGAGGCAGCUGUAGGGAAUCUUCCGCAAUGGGCGAAAGCUUGACGGAGCAACGCCGCGUGAGUGAUGAAGGUCUUCGGAUCGUAAAACUCUGUUAUUAGGGAAGAACAAAUGUGUAAGUAACUAUGCACGUCUUGACGGUACCUAAUCAGAAAGCCACGGCUAACUACGUG
RNAcentral lists this ribosomal RNA (497 nucleotides) under uncultured bacterium. Its description in RNAcentral is "partial 16S ribosomal RNA". It matches the Rfam family "Bacterial small subunit ribosomal RNA", at positions 28 to 507 of the family's 1533-position model. The record is from RNAcentral.